CUUCAGGGCAACGUGCAAUUCGUGACCGGUGGUAAAGUCCACGAGCCGCAAGGCUGAUCCGGUGUGAUUCCGGAACCGACAGUAUAGUCUGGAUGGAAGAAGU
RNAcentral lists this non-coding RNA (103 nucleotides) under uncultured Eubacterium sp. RNAcentral's name for it is "FMN riboswitch (RFN element)". It matches the Rfam family "FMN riboswitch aptamer (RFN element)". From Rfam's summary of the family: The RFN element is a highly conserved domain that is found frequently in the 5'-untranslated regions of prokaryotic mRNAs that encode for flavin mononucleotide (FMN) biosynthesis and transport proteins. This element is a metabolite-dependent riboswitch that directly binds FMN in the absence of proteins. In Bacillus subtilis, the riboswitch most likely controls gene expression by causing premature transcription termination within the 5' untranslated region of the ribDEAHT operon and precluding access to the ribosome-binding site of ypaA mRNA. The record is from RNAcentral. Lineage: Bacteria; Bacillati; Bacillota; Clostridia; Eubacteriales; Eubacteriaceae.